AUAGCGUAUAUUAAAGUUGUUGUGGUUAAAAAGCUCGUAGUUGGAUCUCAGUUCGAGUCAGACGGUCCACUUGCCAGUGGUUACUGUUUGACUGAACACUUUACCGAGUUGUUCUAUGGUGCUCUUCACCGAGUGUCAUAGGCGAUCGGUACGUUUACUUUGAAAAAAUUAGAGUGCUCAAAGCAGGCGGAACGCCCGAAUAAUAGUGCAUGGAAUAAUGGAAUAGGAUCUUAAUUCUAUUUUGUUGGUCUUCGGAAUUUAAGAUAAUGAUUAAGAGGGACAGACGGGGGCAUUCGUAUUGCGGCGCUAGAGGUGAAAUUCUUGGACCGUCGCAAGACGAACUACAG
This 347-nucleotide ribosomal RNA is filed under the name Ampullobates ecuadoriensis. RNAcentral's name for it is "SSU rRNA". It matches the Rfam family "Eukaryotic small subunit ribosomal RNA", at positions 594 to 945 of the family's 1831-position model. The record is from RNAcentral. Lineage: Eukaryota; Metazoa; Arthropoda; Arachnida; Sarcoptiformes; Hermanniellidae.